AGUGAACGCUGGCGGUAGGCCUAACACAUGCAAGUCGAACGGCAGCACAGUAAGAGCUUGCUCUUACGGGUGGCGAGUGGCGGACGGGUGAGGAAUACAUCGGAAUCUACUUUUUCGUGGGGGAUAACGUAGGGAAACUUACGCUAAUACCGCAUACGACAUACGGGUGAAAUCAGGGGAUCUUCGGACCUUGCGCGAUUGAAUGAGCCGAUGUCGGAUUAGCUAGUUGGCGGGGUAAAGGCCCACCAAGGCGACGAUCCGUAGCUGGUCUGAGAGGAUGAUCAGCCACACUGGAACUGAGACACGGUCCAGACUCCUACGGGAGGCAGCAGUGGGGAAUAUUGCACAAUGGGCGCAAGCCUGAUCCAGCCAUACCGCGUGGGUGAAGAAGGCCUUCGGGUUGUAAAGCCCUUUUGUUGGGAAAGAAAAGCGGCAGGUUAAUACCCCGCUGUUCUGACGGUACCCAAAGAAUAAGCACCGGCUAACUUCGUG
Molecule: ribosomal RNA, 492 nt
Filed under: uncultured bacterium
Lineage: Bacteria
Description: partial 16S ribosomal RNA
Rfam family: Bacterial small subunit ribosomal RNA
Source: RNAcentral